UGGGGAAUCUUGCUCAAUGGGCGCAAGCCUGAUCCAGCCAUGCCGCGUGAGUGAAGAAGGCCCUAGGGUUGUAAAGCUCUUUCACCUGCGAAGAUGAUGACGGUAGCAAGACAAGAAGCCCCGGCUAACUCCGUGCCAGCAGCCGCGGUAAUACGGAGGGGGCUAGCGUUGCUCGGAAUUACUGGGCGUAAAGGGCGCGCAGGCGGAACACGAAGUCAGACGUGAAAGCCCCGGGCUUAACCUGGGAACUGCGUUUGAAACUUGUGAUCUGGAGUCUCGGAGAGGGUGGUGGAAUUCCCAGUGUAGAGGUGAAAUUCGUAGAUAUUGGGAAGAACACCAGUGGCGAAGGCGGCCACCUGGACGAGUACUGACGCUGAGGCGCGAAAGCGUGGGGAGCAAACAGGAUUAGAUACCCCCGUAGUCC
This 424-nucleotide ribosomal RNA is filed under the name uncultured prokaryote. RNAcentral describes it as "bacterial SSU rRNA". It matches the Rfam family "Bacterial small subunit ribosomal RNA", at positions 355 to 796 of the family's 1533-position model. The record is from RNAcentral.